AUUGAACGCUGGCGGCAUGCCUUACACAUGCAAGUCGAACGGCAGCACGGGUGCUUGCACCUGGUGGCGAGUGGCGAACGGGUGAGUAAUACAUCGGAACAUGUCCUGUAGUGGGGGAUAGCCCGGCGAAAGCCGGAUUAAUACCGCAUACGAUCCACGGAUGAAAGCGGGGGACCUUCGGGCCUCGCGCUAUAGGGUUGGCCGAUGGCUGAUUAGCUAGUUGGUGGGGUAAAGGCCUACCAAGGCGACGAUCAGUAGCUGGUCUGAGAGGACGACCAGCCACACUAGGACUGAGACACGGCCCAGACUCCUACGGGAGGCAGCAGUGGGGAAUUUUGGACAAUGGGCGAAAGCCUGAUCCAGCAAUGCCGCGUGUGUGAAGAAGGCCUUCGGGUUGUAAAGCACUUUUGUCCGGAAAGAAAUCCUUGACUCUAAUACAGUCGGGGGAUGACGGUACCGGAAGAAUAAGCACCGGCUAACUACGUG
This 486-nucleotide ribosomal RNA is filed under the name uncultured bacterium. RNAcentral describes it as "partial 16S ribosomal RNA". It matches the Rfam family "Bacterial small subunit ribosomal RNA", at positions 30 to 507 of the family's 1533-position model. The record is from RNAcentral.